This 873-nucleotide ribosomal RNA is filed under the name uncultured bacterium. Its description in RNAcentral is "bacterial SSU rRNA". It matches the Rfam family "Bacterial small subunit ribosomal RNA", at positions 8 to 908 of the family's 1533-position model. The record is from RNAcentral.
AGAGUUUGAUCAUGGCUCAGGAUGAACGCUGGCGGCGUGCCUAACACAUGCAAGUCCAGCGAUUCUCUUCGGAGAAGAGCGGCGGACGGGUGAGUAACGCGUGGGUAACCUGCCCUGUACACACGGAUAACAUACCGAAAGGUAUGCUAAUACGGGAUAACAUAUUUUGAUGGCAUCAUCGAAAUAUCAAAGCUCCGGCGGUACAGGAUGGACCCGCGUCUGAUUAGCUAGUUGGUGAGGUAACGGCUCACCAAGGCGACGAUCAGUAGCCGACCUGAGAGGGUGAUCGGCCACAUUGGAACUGAGACACUGUCCAAACUCCUACGGGAGGCAGCAGUGGGGAAUAUUGCACAAUGGGCGAAAGCCUGAUGCAGCAACGCCGCGUGAGCGAUGAAGGCCUUCGGGUCGUAAAGCUCUGUCCUCAAGGAAGAUAAUGACGGUACUUGAGGAGGAAGCCCCGGCUAACUACGUGCCAGCAGCCGCGGUAAUACGUAGGGGGCUAGCGUUAUCCGGAAUUACAGGGCGUAAAGGGUGCGUAGGUGGUUUUUUAAGUCAGAAGUGAAAGGCUACGGCUCAACCGUAGUAAGCUUUUGAAACUGAGAAACUUGAGUGCAGGAGAGGAGAGUAGAAUUCCUAGUGUAGCGGUGAAAUGCGUAGAUAUUAGGAGGAAUACCAGUUGCGAAGGCGGCUCUCUGGACUGUAACUGACACUGAGGCACGAAAGCGUGGGGAGCAAACAGGAUUAGAUACCCUGGUAGUCCACGCUGUAAACGAUGAAUACUAGGUGUCGGGGACCUUCCGGUCUUCGGUGCCGUCGCUAACGCAUUAAGUAUUCCGCCUGGGAAGUACGCUCGCAAGAGUGAAACUCAAAUGA